ACGCUGCUGGUGUCGGCGCCGUAGGAAGCGCAGCUUCGGGUCCCCAUUGUUUUGGCGCCAUGAGCCGCGGGGGCGGCGCCUCGCUUCUGGCCAGGGAAUCAGCUUGCGGCCAUUCAUGGUUCGCAGCGGCCUUCGUCGUCGAUGCACGCCCACGACAGUUGGCGCAGCAGCAGCAAGGGGCGACUAAGGGAUUACGCCAUACUGAGAGUGCGAUUCAGAAGAAAUAGUCACACCAUUGUCAUGAAGCAGGAGCUAUCUGUGAGUUUCUAAUGUAUUUCAGGAGUAACUAUUUUCGAGCCAAUGGGAUAAGGAAAUUGCUGUUCCUGUGAUAAUGCCAUGACAACUAGUUUGAGAAGACAGUGACACUUUUUAUGCUCGAUGUUUAGACAGUUUGCCUCCUAGCAAAUUCAGAUUAGGUGUGUAGAUGAUUUUUGCAGAAUCUAGACAUGGCAAAUCGACAAAUUGUAGACUUGGAUGAGGGCACCGGAUUAGUGUAUGUUUUGGGCAUUAUUUUUUUCAGAACCAACCUUUUGAAUUAGUGUUCAUUCAAAUUUUA
Molecule: long non-coding RNA, 556 nt
Organism: Aegilops tauschii subsp. strangulata
Lineage: Eukaryota; Viridiplantae; Streptophyta; Magnoliopsida; Poales; Poaceae
Source: RefSeq, a predicted model, not a curated record